UACUUUCAAUAUGGGACACAAGUUGCAAUGGGAUCAUAACAUUGCACGAUGCUCCAUAGCCCCAGUGCCCAUGUAGGCUAGCUUUGCGCUUACCUAGCCCCAGGCAAACAUUGCUAUUCCGACGUCGUCACUGUGUUGCACGAUUGCAACUAGGAUGCAUAGUGGACGGCUCUGAUACCAUCAAUAGAAACUUAAAAGAACUACAACCCAAAAGCUAGCUCUUGAGGUUGGAGAACUCAAGUCCAUAUAUGCCCCAUAUUG
Molecule: unclassified non-coding RNA, 261 nt
Filed under: Hevea brasiliensis (rubber tree)
Lineage: Eukaryota; Viridiplantae; Streptophyta; Magnoliopsida; Malpighiales; Euphorbiaceae
Source: RNAcentral